Vicia faba (fava bean) is the source of this 234-nucleotide non-coding RNA. The record is from the annotation of a GenBank genome assembly. NCBI's taxonomy places the organism in Eukaryota, Viridiplantae, Streptophyta, Magnoliopsida, Fabales, Fabaceae.
AUGCCAAACAACACUCCUGGUCCCAAUUCAAAUGCUGCAAACAACUCUUCAUCUAAGCAGGAUCAGUCCCAAUACUCUACUUCCAAAUUACAAACAAUGGCCAUGGUAGUCACCAUAAGCCAACUUUAUGCUUACAUUCAAGAGUAUUCCUUGCCAUCUCAGCUAGAAUCCCAAGCCUGGUCCGCUGACUCAAGUGCAUCUCAUCACAUUACCCCAUGUGAAUCUCAUUUAUAG